UCGGAGCCGCAGGUUCAUUGGCCGGAAACGCAGCUGGCUGGGCCCGACUCCGACUCUAGGGGGCUGGGGGCGGGGGGUGGAUGGCUGCUCUGGUCACCUGGGUCCCCCCGCCCCGCGCUCCGCAGGGCGAUGCUCCGGGGAUGGGGCCGCCCUGCCUGGAUGGGCUGGGCCGGCUGUGCGUGUUGGUUACACGUACGAACUGUCCCAGCAGGUCGGGCUCCCGAGAGAUUUGAAUUAGCUUGAUGAAGUUUUGCGUGUGUGUCCACCAUGGAAGCUUCUCCCGGACCCCAGAGGACCCUCGCGCCCAUUCCCAGGCGGGGACCCCUCCCCAGGCCAGAAAGACCGAGUCCCCCCGGCGUCCCUCUCGUCUUGCGUCCUGCACUCUGCCAACCGCACUGAGCCUCAGGCCAGGAGCUGCGAAGACAAGACCUUGCUCUGCCCAGCCCCCUCCUCCCCUGAAGAUCCGCUUCUGUUCACUGUCCAGAACCUUCAGGUGUUUGCUUUUGGCAUCACGCUCAGGUUUUAUCAUCGUGCUCGGGAAGGGAAUCAUUCGGUCGUUACCAGACGUGGAAGGCCUCUGCUUGCCUCCCAGGGCCCUUCGAGUGCCCUUUUAUCUCCCGGCUGGCUCUUGGCGGGAGAAGGGGAAGAGAGGAGAACUUUUUCAGCACUGGGUUCCAGCUGGUUCUCUUACUCACUAGCUGCAUGUCCUUGGGCAGGCGGCCCCCCUCAGCUUAGUUUUCCCAUCUUCGGAGCCUGGUGCCGUGGGACUACUGCAUGAAGGGGGAAAGGCGUGCAUUCCCACAGUGCUGGGUCCGAGCUUGGUCCCGUCACUGUCUUCCCAAGCAUCUCUGGUGCCCCUGGAAGAAGAAGUCCAAGCUGGUGCUGGCCAGGGUUUCAGCCCCAUUAAUUCCUCCAAGCGGUUGGCUCCGGGAAAGGCCUUUUCUUAUUUCCUGCCAGGAAAAUCAAACUGUAGAAACCGACGCAGGGCUGUGCCAUUCAGAAUCCUCGCACUUGACGUCCCCAAACCAGUUCUGCUCAGUCGGCUCCGCUUCGAAGCCACUGCCAGGGAAAACACGACGCAGGGAGAAGCUGUGCGGCCCAUGCAAGACGCUGCAGAAUCGGGCCCUGGCCCCGGGCGGGCUCCCACAGCGCUGCUGUCCUGCUUCUGAGACUGGCUGGUUUGUUUCCCGGACACUUGUUUACUGAGCGUCCACUGUGCCCGUCGCUGCGCUGGGUGCCGGGGCCACAGCAGCAAACAAGGCACACAGGUCCUGCCUUCACAGAGGGGGCGUCUGGCCGGAGGCCUGGAUGUGAGCUUCGCCAUCGCACCCGGGGGUAAAGCCACAGAUGUCCUAGGGGGUGGAGGGGGGGGCAUGGUGUUGUGUGUGCAUAAGGCAGGGACUUGAUUUGCUCAAGGAGGCUGGUGGGAGGCCCCGGGGAAGUGACAUUUCAGCUGAGGUCUGGAGGAUGAGUGGAAUUUAACAAGGAUGAGGCACAGGCCCUGUGGUGGGUGGGGCAUGGUAAGUUCCAGAACAGACAUGGGGUGGGGUGGGAGAACACCGUGGGGAGAUGGGCAAGGAACGUGACGUAACAGAGGUGUGCCAUCGAGUUGCCCGAGUUAGCAAAUAAAAAUACAGGAUGCGCGGUUCAACUCGAAUUUUAGGUGAGCGCCAAAUAAAUUUUGUGGCAUAAGUA
Molecule: long non-coding RNA, 1695 nt
Organism: Felis catus (domestic cat)
Lineage: Eukaryota; Metazoa; Chordata; Mammalia; Carnivora; Felidae
Exons: 3
Source: RefSeq, a predicted model, not a curated record